This 497-nucleotide ribosomal RNA is filed under the name uncultured bacterium. Its description in RNAcentral is "partial 16S ribosomal RNA". It matches the Rfam family "Bacterial small subunit ribosomal RNA", at positions 28 to 507 of the family's 1533-position model. The record is from RNAcentral.
GAUGAACGCUGGCGGCGUGCCUAAUACAUGCAAGUCGAGCGAACGGACGAGAAGCUUGCUUUUCUGAUGUUAGCGGCGGACGGGUGAGUAACACGUAGAUAACCUACCUAUAAGACUGGGAUAACUUCGGGAAACCGGAGCUAAUACCGGAUAAUAUUUUGAACCGCAUGGUUCAAAAGUGAAAGACGGUCUUGCUGUCACUUAUAGAUGGAUCCGCGCUGCAUUGGCUAGUUGGUAAGGUAACGGCUUACCAAGGCAACGAUGCAUAGCCGACCUGAGAGGGUGAUCGGCCACACUGGAACUGAGACACGGUCCAGACUCCUACGGGAGGCAGCAGUAGGGAAUCUUCCGCAAUGGGCGAAAGCCUGACGGAGCAACGCCGCGUGAGUGAUGAAGGUCUUCGGAUCGUAAAACUCUGUUAUUAGGGAAGAACAUAUGUGUAAGUAACUGUGCACAUCUUGACGGUACCUAAUCAGAAAGCCACGGCUAACUACGUG